RNAcentral lists this ribosomal RNA (591 nucleotides) under uncultured bacterium. RNAcentral's name for it is "bacterial SSU rRNA". It matches the Rfam family "Bacterial small subunit ribosomal RNA", at positions 338 to 945 of the family's 1533-position model. The record is from RNAcentral.
CCUACGGGAGGCAGCAGUGGGGAAUUUUCCGCAAUGGGCGAAAGCCUGACGGAGCAACGCCGCGUGAGGGAUGAAGGCCUCUGGGCUGUAAACCUCUUUUAUCAAGGAAGAAGAUCUGACGGUACUUGAUGAAUAAGCCACGGCUAAUUCCGUGCCAGCAGCCGCGGUAAUACGGGAGUGGCAAGCGUUAUCCGGAAUUAUUGGGCGUAAAGCGUCCGCAGGCGGUCUUGUAAGUCUGUCGUUAAAGCGUGGAGCUUAACUCCAUUUCGGCGGUGGAAACUACAAGACUAGAGUGUGGUAGGGGCAGAGGGAAUUCCCGGUGUAGCGGUGAAAUGCGUAGAUAUCGGGAAGAACACCAGUGGCGAAGGCGCUCUGCUGGGCCAUAACUGACGCUCAUGGACGAAAGCUAGGGGAGCGAAAGGGAUUAGAUACCCCUGUAGUCCUAGCCGUAAACGAUGAACACUAGGUNUCGGGGAAUCGACCCCUCGGUGUCGUAGCUAACGCGUUAAGUGUUCCGCCUGGGGAGUACGCACGCAAGUGUGAAACUCAAAGGAAUUGACGGCUGAGAGNGCGACGCGACGACGAGGAGAG